CCUACGGGAGGCAGCAGUGAGGAAUAUUGGUCAAUGGACGCGAGCCUGAACCAGCCAAGUCGCGUGAAGGAAGACGGCCCUACGGGUUGUAAACUUCUUUUAUAAAGGAGUAAAGUGAGGCACGUGUGCCUUUUUGUAUGUACUUUAUGAAUAAGGAUCGGCUAACUCCGUGCCAGCAGCCGCGGUAAUACGGAGGAUUCGAGCGUUAUCCGGAUUUAUUGGGUUUAAAGGGAGCGUAGAUGGGUGGUUAAGUCAGUUGUGAAAGUUUGCGGCUCAACCGUAAAAUUGCAUUUGAUACUGGCAGUCUUGAGUAUAGUUGAGGUAGGCGGAAUGCGUGGUGUAGCGGUGAAAUGCUUAGAGAUCACGAAGAACUCCGAUUGCGAAGGCAGCUUACUAAGCUGCCACUGACAUUGAUGCUCGAAAGUGUGGGUAGCAAACAGGAUUAGAUACCCUUGUAGUC
This 460-nucleotide ribosomal RNA is filed under the name uncultured bacterium. RNAcentral describes it as "partial 16S ribosomal RNA". It matches the Rfam family "Bacterial small subunit ribosomal RNA", at positions 338 to 795 of the family's 1533-position model. The record is from RNAcentral.